UUAAAGAUAAGCUAUAUAAGCUAUUGGGCUCAUAACUCAAAUAAGAAAAAAUUCUCUUUAAAC
This 63-nucleotide transfer RNA is filed under the name Bulinus globosus. Its description in RNAcentral is "tRNA-Met". The record is from RNAcentral. Lineage: Eukaryota; Metazoa; Mollusca; Gastropoda; Planorbidae.